Molecule: long non-coding RNA, 758 nt
Filed under: Pan troglodytes (chimpanzee)
Lineage: Eukaryota; Metazoa; Chordata; Mammalia; Primates; Hominidae
Description: lincRNA
Source: RNAcentral
AGUGACACGGGCACUUGUCCUUGAGCAAAAUUACCAGAAUCCAAACUGGCUCUGCCACCUCCUGGCUGUGGACCUGGGAUCUUUCCUACGUCUCUGUUUCUUCAUUUGUAAAAUGAGGCUGAUGGUAGUAACAGUGUCUACCUCUCCGGGUUGCCAAGAGAAUUACAUGAAUGAAGGCCUCAAAUACUUGAUAAGAACUCAAAAAGAAACCUCUCCGUGAAAAGCUGUAGAGGAUGAAGCAGUUAAUCCCACCACCUCUAGCUCAGGAUGAGAGAGCAACUCACACAUCCCUCUUAGAAGACCAAACUCUGGCCGGUUUUCUGCAUGCCUGAUGCUCCUUGCAGAAACAGAGCCAUCCUGCCUACCUCUGGAAUCCUGGGGCCUCAGGUGGUGCCCAGUCCACAGUAGGAACACAAUAGGAGAUGAGUGAGUAGGGAAGAAGUGAGCAGUUGGAUAUGGCAAGUUAGAAACAGUCCAGCCUCCAGUGGGGCACUCUGCUUACCUACACUUAGGUAAACCCAAAUCCUCAAAGCUCACAAGGCCUUGAAAACUCCCAAUUCCAUGAAUCCUGAUUACAAACAACCCGGAGGAACCAUUUAGCUCCCCGAAGACCAACAGAAUCUGUGUGCAAUGUGGGAGGAGAGAAACUCCGGAGCGUGGCCCAGGAAGACAGGUGGCAACCCUAGAAAUGCUGCAAUGCCUGUUGAAGCCCCUUCCCCCUGAACUGGCCGACAAUUUUCCUUCCAUAUACAUUAAAA